RNAcentral lists this ribosomal RNA (253 nucleotides) under uncultured bacterium. RNAcentral describes it as "partial 16S ribosomal RNA". It matches the Rfam family "Bacterial small subunit ribosomal RNA", at positions 524 to 776 of the family's 1533-position model. The record is from RNAcentral.
UACGUAGGGGGCAAGCGUUGUCCGGAUUUAUUGGGCGUAAAGCGCGUGUAGGCGGCCAGAAAAGUCCGCUGUGAAAGCUCGAGGCUCAACUUCGAGCUGUCGGUGGAAACUUUCUGGCUAGAGUCCGGAAGAGGAGAAUGGAAUUCCUGGUGUAGCGGUGAAAUGCGCAGAUAUCAGGAAGAACACCCGUGGCGAAGGCGGUUCUCUGGGACGGUACUGACGCUGAGACGCGAAAGCGUGGGGAGCGAACAGG